Perognathus longimembris pacificus (Pacific pocket mouse) is the source of this 1171-nucleotide long non-coding RNA. RefSeq lists it as uncharacterized. Lineage: Eukaryota; Metazoa; Chordata; Mammalia; Rodentia; Heteromyidae. The transcript is spliced from 3 exons. The record is from RefSeq and is a predicted model, not a curated record.
AAGUUUUCGCUUUUGAUUACUUACUAGAUUAUAAAAUAAGUGAAAAGUAGACAUUAUUAUUGUUUGAGAUGGAGGACAAUAGAUUCUUUUCCUCUUUACUGUUCAGUGACUGAAAACAGUUGUUUGUUGUGUUUUAAAAUUGUCCUCAAAACAUAAUGAAUUGGAAUUAUUUCUGCUUGUUAAGAGCAUUAAUAGAAUGGGCAAGCAAUUGCCUUAAACUCCAUUUACCCACUGUUUUCAGCUUUGAUGUUCCUUGCUAUAUUAUUCUAAACAAGAUGUAUUGAACUGGCAAUUCAAUAGUAAUUUGAUUACUAGUAAUUUGAUAUUGUUUUUGAGAUGACUAAGGGCAUGCCAUUGUAUAUGAAUAAAAUAUACAAAAGCACUUGACUAAAAUGGAUCAUCUCAAUAUGGGCUUGUUUUCAAGUUUGAGUUUUCCUUUUUUCUCCCUAUUUCCUAAUUAGUAAUUAGCCAGCAUAAUAGAGGAGAAAAUAUGCUUUGUGAAAAAAUUACCAAUAAAUUCACUACUUGUAAAAUUUGCAGUACUUCAUACCUAGACUUCUCAUUCAAAGAACCUCAAGUUAUUUAUGAUGGCUCUAAAAAUAUGUCAGUGUGUUUGUGUUAGAGAUAGGAUAUGACUAUGACUAUAACCACAGAGAUAGUCACAGCUGUUCCUUUAGUGUUACGCAUGAAUACAUGUUAACUGUUGCUAUAGGCUAUCUGAAAGUUUCCAGACGCCUAUAGGAAACCUUAGGCUUCUGAGGGGCUCUCUUCACUCGGCAUUUUUAUCUUUAGCAUGUCCAACGUUCUUUUAUUUUAUGUUAUUAUUUAUUUGUUUGAAAUGGGAUCUAACUAUGUUGGCGGCCGGCCUCAAACUUGGGGCCACAAGAGAUCCUUCUGCUCCAGGCUCCAGAGUACCAGAAAAAAAUAUUACUGACAUUUUGUUAAUAUCACUUCAAAACAAAAAGUACAAAGAUUUCUCAGAAAUUGUUAAGAUGGAACCACCGAGUGAUGUAGCAAUCCCACUGGUUAGGUGUGUAGUCUACAGAAAUGGAAUUGUUAGGUCAGAUAGUCAUGUUUACUCUAUUGUUUACUGCAGCACUGAUCUCACGAUGGAAUCAAAUCUAAGUUGAGUACAAAUGAGUAGAUCGAACAUGGUAUGUGGGGCUGGGAA